UACGUAGGGUGCAAGCGUUUGUCCGGAAUUAUUGGGCGUAAAGAGCUCGUAGGCGGUUUGUCGCGUCUGGUGUGAAAAUCCAGGGCUUAACCCUGGACCUGCAUCGGGUACGGGCAGACUAGAGUGCGGUAGGGAGAUCGGAAUUCCUGGUGUAAGCGGUGAAAUGCGCAGAUAAUCAGGAGGAACACCGGUGGCGAAGGCGGAUCUCUGGGCCGUAACUGACGCUGAGGAGCGAAAGCAUGGGGA
This 246-nucleotide ribosomal RNA is filed under the name uncultured bacterium. Its description in RNAcentral is "partial 16S ribosomal RNA". It matches the Rfam family "Bacterial small subunit ribosomal RNA", at positions 524 to 767 of the family's 1533-position model. The record is from RNAcentral.